RNAcentral lists this ribosomal RNA (429 nucleotides) under uncultured bacterium. Its description in RNAcentral is "bacterial SSU rRNA". It matches the Rfam family "Bacterial small subunit ribosomal RNA", at positions 355 to 775 of the family's 1533-position model. The record is from RNAcentral.
UCGAGAAUCAUUCGCAAUGGGCGCAAGCCUGACGGUGCGACGUCGCGUGGAGGAUGAAGGUCUUCGGAUUGUAAACUCCUGUCAUGUGGGAUAAAUGGCCAGGGCAUGAAUAGUGCCUUGGAAUGAUAGUACCACAGGAGGAAGGGACGGCUAACUCUGUGCCAGCAGCCGCGGUAAUUCAGAGGUCCCGAGCGUUGUUCGGAUUUACUGGGCGUAAAGGGAGCGUAGGCGGUUUGGUGUGUCGAAUGUGAAAGCCCACAACUCAACUGUGGAAUGGCAUUCGAAACUACUGAGCUAGAGUACUGGAGAGGAGAGCGGAAUUCUUGGUGUAGCGGUGAAAUGCGUAGAUUUCAAGAGGAACACCGGUGGCGAAGGCGGCUCUCUGGACAGAUACUGACGCUGAGGCUCUAAAGUUAGGGGAGCAAACAG